RNAcentral lists this non-coding RNA (24 nucleotides) under Drosophila erecta. The record is from RNAcentral. Lineage: Eukaryota; Metazoa; Arthropoda; Insecta; Diptera; Drosophilidae. RNAcentral also lists the same sequence under 1 other name.
UGUCUGAUAUCAAGGACUCUGAGG